This 73-nucleotide transfer RNA is filed under the name Methanomethylovorans sp. PtaU1.Bin093. Its description in RNAcentral is "tRNA-Arg". It matches the Rfam family "tRNA". Rfam says of the family: Transfer RNA (tRNA) molecules are approximately 80 nucleotides in length. Their secondary structure includes four short double-helical elements and three loops (D, anti-codon, and T loops). Lineage: Archaea; Methanobacteriati; Methanobacteriota; Methanomicrobia; Methanosarcinales; Methanosarcinaceae. The record is from RNAcentral.
GGACCUGUAGUGUAGCGGAUAUCACUUAAGCCUCCGGAGCUUAGAACCCGGGUUCGAGUCCCGGCAGGUCCGC